GGUCUGACCGGUGAAAAGGGAAACAGGUGUGAAUCCUGUACGAACUCGUCACCGUAUUUCACGAGCAGAAGAAGUAUCCACUGGGAGACCGGGAAGGAUCGGAUGCGUCAGAGUGAUAAGCCGGGAGACCUGCCUUUCGC
Molecule: non-coding RNA, 140 nt
Filed under: uncultured Lachnoclostridium sp.
Lineage: Bacteria; Bacillati; Bacillota; Clostridia; Lachnospirales; Lachnospiraceae
Source: RNAcentral